GCCCCCAUGUUCAGGCAAGGAAAGGUAGCUUCGGCCAUCCGGCGAGGGAUGGGCCCGCGGUACAUUAGCUAGUUGGUGGGGUAACGGCCCACCAAGGCGACGAUGUAUAGCUGGUCUGAGAGGAUGAUCAGCCACACUGGGACUGAGACACGGCCCAGACUCCUACGGGAGGCAGCAGCCAGGAAUCUUGGGCAAUGGGCGCAAGCCUGACCCAGCAACACCGUGUGGGCGACGAAGGCUUUAGGGUCGUAAAGCCCUGUUGAUAGGGACGAAGGGCGAAGGGUUAAU
Molecule: ribosomal RNA, 288 nt
Filed under: uncultured bacterium
Lineage: Bacteria
Description: partial 16S ribosomal RNA
Rfam family: Bacterial small subunit ribosomal RNA
Source: RNAcentral